This 313-nucleotide ribosomal RNA is filed under the name uncultured Bacillota bacterium. RNAcentral's name for it is "uncultured Firmicutes bacterium partial 16S ribosomal RNA". The record is from RNAcentral. Lineage: Bacteria; Bacillati; Bacillota.
CGGGCCGCGAAUUCGCCCUUGAGUUUGAUCCUGGCUUCAGGACGAACGCUGGCGGCACGCCUAACACAUGCAAGUCGAACGGAGAUAUUUUGGUUUACUGAGAUAUCUUAGUGGCGGACGGGUGAGUAACACGUGAGCAACCUGCCUCUGAGAGAGGGAUAGCUUCUGGAAACGGAUGGUAAUACCUCAUAACAUAACGAAGCCGCAUGACUUUGUUAUCAAAGAUUUAUCACUCRGAGAUGGGCUCGCGUCUGAUUAGAUAGUUGGUGAGGUAACGGCUCACCAAGUCGACGAUCAGUAGCCKGACUGAGAU